UACGGAGGGUGCGAGCGUUGUUCGGAAUCACUGGGCGUAAAGCGCGUGUAGGCGGCCCAUUAAGUCUGAUGUGAAAGCCCGGGGCUCACCCCCGGAAGUGCAUUGGAAACUGAUGGACUCGAGUCCCGGAGAGGAGAGUGGAAUUCCUGGUGUAGCGGUGAAAUGCGCAGAUAUCAGGAAGAACACCAAUGGCGAAGGCAGCUCUCUGGGACGGUACUGACGCUGAGACGCGAAAGCGUGGGGAGCGAACAGG
This 253-nucleotide ribosomal RNA is filed under the name uncultured bacterium. RNAcentral's name for it is "partial 16S ribosomal RNA". It matches the Rfam family "Bacterial small subunit ribosomal RNA", at positions 524 to 776 of the family's 1533-position model. The record is from RNAcentral.